Molecule: long non-coding RNA, 229 nt
Filed under: Brassica napus (rape)
Lineage: Eukaryota; Viridiplantae; Streptophyta; Magnoliopsida; Brassicales; Brassicaceae
Description: long non-coding RNA (BNAP_LNC012891)
Source: RNAcentral
ACCGAGUCGCCCAAUCUGGCUAAAGAUGUCUAGAACACCAGCAACUGCAUAUGUUGGCGCAACACCACCAUCAUCAUAUCUUCUUGGAGCUCUUCUCCGGGUACCUACUUUUGACGCAAAGUAGUACGAUGUGUAGUGAGAAACUUCUUCCGUCAAACUUCCAGCAAUUAUAGAACCUUCAACUUUGGCGAGGUUCUUUGCUUUUUCCUUCAAAUAUUUCAUGGCUCGC